GGUACUGUGGCUUAGUGGUAGAGUGCUUGCCUAGCAUGCAUGAAGCCCUCCCUGGGUUUGAUUCCUCAGUACCA
Molecule: non-coding RNA, 74 nt
Organism: Dipodomys ordii (Ord's kangaroo rat)
Lineage: Eukaryota; Metazoa; Chordata; Mammalia; Rodentia; Heteromyidae
Source: Rfam